UACGGAGGGUGCAAACGUUGCUCGGAAUCACUGGGCGUAAAGGGUGCGUAGGCGGCCCAAUAAGUCAGAUGUGAAAGCCCUCGGCUCAACCGAGGAAUUGCAUUUGAAACUGUUGGGCUUGAGUUCGGUAGAGGAAAGCGGAAUUCCUGGUGUAGCGGUGAAAUGCGUUGAUAUCAGGAGGAACACCGGUGGCGAAGGCGGCUUUCUGGGCCGAUACUGACGCUGAUGCACGAAAGCGUUGGGUAGCAAA
This 250-nucleotide ribosomal RNA is filed under the name uncultured bacterium. RNAcentral describes it as "partial 16S ribosomal RNA". It matches the Rfam family "Bacterial small subunit ribosomal RNA", at positions 524 to 772 of the family's 1533-position model. The record is from RNAcentral.